RNAcentral lists this ribosomal RNA (465 nucleotides) under Vreelandella stevensii. RNAcentral's name for it is "partial 16S ribosomal RNA". It matches the Rfam family "Bacterial small subunit ribosomal RNA", at positions 338 to 795 of the family's 1533-position model. The record is from RNAcentral. Lineage: Bacteria; Pseudomonadati; Pseudomonadota; Gammaproteobacteria; Oceanospirillales; Halomonadaceae.
CCUACGGGUGGCAGCAGUGGGGAAUAUUGGACAAUGGGGGCAACCCUGAUCCAGCCAUGCCGCGUGUGUGAAGAAGGCCCUCGGGUUGUAAAGCACUUUCAGUGAGGAAGAACGCCUGGUGGUUAAUACCCAUCAGGAAAGACAUCACUCACAGAAGAAGCACCGGCUAACUCCGUGCCAGCAGCCGCGGUAAUACGGAGGGUGCGAGCGUUAAUCGGAAUUACUGGGCGUAAAGCGCGCGUAGGUGGCUUGAUAAGCCGGUUGUGAAAGCCCCGGGCUCAACCUGGGAACGGCAUCCGGAACUGUCAAGCUAGAGUGCAGGAGAGGAAGGUAAAAUUCCCGGUGUAGCGGUGAAAUGCGUAGAGAUCGGGAGGAAUACCAGUGGCGAAGGCGGCCUUCUGGACUGACACUGACACUGAGGUGCGAAAGCGUGGGUAGCAAACAGGAUUAGAUACCCCAGUAGUC